This 380-nucleotide ribosomal RNA is filed under the name uncultured bacterium. RNAcentral describes it as "bacterial SSU rRNA". It matches the Rfam family "Bacterial small subunit ribosomal RNA", at positions 29 to 422 of the family's 1533-position model. The record is from RNAcentral.
AACGAACGCUGGCGGCAGGCCUAACACAUGCAAGUCGAACGCCGUAGCAAUACGGAGUGGCAGACGGGUGAAUAACGCGUGGGAACAUACCCCUCGGUUCGGAAUAACUCAGGGAAACUUGAGCUAAUACCGGAUACGUCCGAUGUUUUAAUCGACCUUGGAGAAAGAUUUAUCGCCGGAGGAUUGGCCCGCGUCUGAUUAGCUUGUUGGUGAGGUAAUGGCUCACCAAGGCGACGAUCAGUAGCUGGUCUGAGAGGAUGAUCAGCCACAUUGGGACUGAGACACGGCCCAAACUCCUACGGGAGGCAGCAGUGGGGAAUAUUGGACAAUGGGCGAAAGCCUGAUCCAGCCAUGCCGCGUGAGUGAUGAAGGCCUUAGGG